RNAcentral lists this ribosomal RNA (320 nucleotides) under uncultured Prevotella sp. RNAcentral describes it as "bacterial SSU rRNA". It matches the Rfam family "Bacterial small subunit ribosomal RNA", at positions 28 to 339 of the family's 1533-position model. Lineage: Bacteria; Pseudomonadati; Bacteroidota; Bacteroidia; Bacteroidales; Prevotellaceae. The record is from RNAcentral.
GAUGAACGCUAGCUACAGGCUUAACACAUGCAAGUCGAGGGGCAGCAUGAUCGAAGCUUGCUUUGAUUGAUGGCGACCGGCGCACGGGUGAGUAACGCGUAUCCAACCUUCCCUAUAGUAGAGAAUAGCCCGGCGAAAGUCGGAUUAAUGCUCUAUGUUGUAUUUAGAAGACAUCUGAAGAAUACCAAAGGUUUACCGCUAUAGGAUGGGGAUGCGUCUGAUUAGGUUGUUGGCGGGGUAACGGCCCACCAAGCCUACGAUCAGUAGGGGUUCUGAGAGGAAGGUCCCCCACAUUGGAACUGAGACACGGUCCAAACUCC